AGGGCGUAUGGUGGAUGCCUAGGCAGAAAGCGACGAUGAAGGACGCGGCUGGCUGCGAUAAGCCUCGGUGAGUUGCGAGCAAACUUUGACCCGAGGAUCUCCGAAUAAGGCAACUACCAGAGUUUUUAGGACUCGGAGCAUAUAGCCAACACAUAACUAUAUGCAGGCAACCCGGUGAAGUGAAACAUCUCAGUAACCGGAGGAACAGAAAUCAACCGAGAUUCUCCAAGUAGCGGCGAGCGAACGGGGAAGAGCCCAAACUCAAAUAACGUGAUAGGCUGCCGCCGUUGUUAUUUGAGGGUUGCAGGGGUAACUUUUAGAAGUUCGGCAGAGCUUCUGCAGAGUAAAAAAUCCAAGCGUUAGCUGAAGUUGUAUGGAAAGGCACACCGCAGCGAGUGAUAGUCUCGUAAGCGAAAAUGAUUGGACUCUGUAAGUUAUCGCCUAAGUACCGCGAGGCACGUGAAACCUCGUGGGAAUCUGGGAGGACCAUCUUCCAAGGCUAAAUACUACUUUCUGACCGAUAGUGCUUAGUACCGUGAGGGAAAGCGUGAAAAGAACCCCGAGAGGGGAGUGAAAUAGAACCUGAAACCAUGCGCUUACAAGCCGUUAGAGGCCAACGGAUUCGUCCGGGCUGAUAGCGUGCCUUUUGUAGAAUGAGCCGGCGACUUACUGUAACGGGCGAGGUUAAGGACCGAUGGUCCGGAGCCGAAGCGAAAGCGAGUUUGAAUAGAGCGUAUUAGUCCGUUGUAGUAGACCCGAAGCCAGAUGACCUAACCAUGACCAGGGUGAAGGGUGCGUAACAGCACCUGGAGGCCCGGACCGGUGAUUGUUGCAAAAAUUUCGGAUGAGUUGUGGUUAGCGGUGAAAUGCCAAUCGAAUCUGGUGAUAGCUGGUUCUCCCCGAAAUAGCUUUAGGGCUAGCGUCGAGCGUUAACAUCCUGGGGUAGAGCACUGACAGAGUUAGGGGCCUUGAUCGGUUACCGACCUCCAUCAAACUCCGAAUACGGGAUGGUAUUUCUCGGCAGUCAGACAGUGGGGGAUAAGCUUCAUUGUCGAGAGGGAAACAGCCCAGACCGACCGCUAAGGUCCCGAAGUCACAGCUAAGUGGAAAAGGAAGUAUUACUUCAUAAACAGCCAGGAGGUUGGCUCAGAAGCAGCCACCCUUUAAAGAGUGCGUAAUAGCUCACUGGUCGAGUUGUAGUGCGCCGAAAAUGUAACGGGGCUCAAGCUGUGCACCGAAGCGUCGGACUGCAGUUUUACUGUAGUGGUAGGGGAGCGUUCUGUAGGCCUGUGAAGGAGUACCGUGAGGGGCUCUGGAGGUAUCAGAAGUGCGAAUGUCGGCAUAAGUAGCGUAAAGAGAAGUGAGAAUCUUCUCCGCCGAAAAUCUAAGGUUUCCUGGGCCAGGGUUAUCCUCCCAGGGUAAGGCGGGACCUAAGCCGAGGGCGAAAGCCGUAGGCGAUGGCUAAUCGGUUCAUAUUCCGAUCCUAGUGUAUCUUGUUUGAGCGAUGGAGUGACGCAGGAAGGUAGCUCGAGCGGGCGUUGGUUGUCCCGUGACAAGCGUGCGAGUGGUCUGGCAGGCAAAUCCACCAGAUAACACUGAGGCGUGACGUACAAGUCUUUAUAGACUGAAUAGAGUAAUCCUACACUGCCUGGAAAAGCUUCUAGUGAGAGAUGCAUUACCCGUACCGCAAACCGACACUGGUAGAUGAGUUGAAAAUACUAAGGCGGCGAGUUAAUCCCUCUUAAGGAACUCGGCAAAUUGACCCCGUAACUUCGGAAUAAGGGGUGCUAACGAUGUAAGUAGCCGCUUGCCGGUGAAAGUGUUGUUAGUCGCAGAGAAUAGGCCCAACCGACUGUUAAGCAAAAACAUAGGUCUCUGCAAAGCUGUAAAGCGACGUAUAGGGGCUGACGCCUGCCCGGUGCUGGAACGUUAAGAGGAGGGCUUAGAGCAAUCGAAGGUCUGAAUUGAAGCGCCAGUAAACGGCGGCCGUAACUAUAACGGUCCUAAGGUAGCGAAAUUCCUUGUCAGGUAAGUUCUGACCUGCACGAAUGGCGUAACGAGUUGGGCACUGUCUCAAGAGGGAUCUCGGCGAAAUUGCAAACUCUGUGAAGAUGCAGAGUACCCGCAGCAAGACGGAAAGACCCCGUGGAGCUUUACUGUAACUUGAUGUUGGGAUUUGGUUACUUCUGUACAGGAUAUGUGGGAGACUUUGAUGUGCGGUCACAAGGUCGCACGGAGUCGUCGGUGGGAUACCACGCUGAAGUGGCUGGAUUUCUAACCCUUGCCUUAAUCAGGUAACGGGACAGCGUCAGGCGGGCAGUUUGACUGGGGCGGUUGCCUCCCAAAGAGUAACGGAGGCGUUCAAAGGUUCCCUCAGGCUGGUUGGACAUCAGCCGUAGAGUGCAAGCGCAUAAGGGAGCUUGACUGCAAGACGUACAUGUCGUGCAGAGUGGAAACACGGAGUUAGUGAUCCGGCGGUGCCGAAUGGAAGGGCCGUCGCUUAUCGGAUAAAAGCUACCCCGGGGAUAACAGGCUUAUCACGCCCAAGAGUCCAUAUCGACGGCGUGGUUUGGCACCUCGAUGUCGGCUCAUCGCAUCCUGGGGCUGUAUUCGGUCCCAAGGGUUUGGCUGUUCGCCAAUUAAAGCGGUACGUGAGCUGGGUUCAGAACGUCGUGAGACAGUUCGGUCCCUAUCUGCUGUGGGCGUAGGAUAUUUGAAGGGCUCUGUCCUUAGUACGAGAGGACCAGGAUGGACAGACCUCUGGUGAACCAGUUGUGAAGCCAAUUUGCAGAGCUGGGUAGCUAUGUUUGGAUGGGAUAAACGCUGAAAGCAUCUAAGCGUGAAACCCGCCCUGAGAUAAGAUAUCCCACCGCGCGAGCGGUUAAGACUCCAGGAAGACGACCUGGUAAUAGGCCGGAGGUGUAAGUGCUGUGAGGCACUAAGCUAACCGGUACUAAUAAGUCGAGGACUUCGAUA
Molecule: ribosomal RNA, 2976 nt
Filed under: human gut metagenome
Description: bacterial LSU rRNA
Rfam family: Bacterial large subunit ribosomal RNA
Source: RNAcentral